GACGAACGCUGGCGGCGUGCCUAAUACAUGCAAGUAGAACGCUGAAGGAGGAGCUUGCUCUUCUGGAUGAAUUGCGAACGGGUGAGUAACGCGUAGGUAACCUGCCUGGUAGCGGGGGAUAACUAUUGGAAACGCUAGCUAAUACCGCAUAAGAGUAGAUGUUGCAUGACAUUUACUUAAAAGGUGCACUUGCAUCACUACCAGAUGGACCUGCGUUGUAUUAGCUAGUUGGUGGGGUAACGGCUUACCAAGGCGACGAUACAUAGCCGACCUGAGAGGGUGAUCGGCCACACUGGGACUGAGACACGGCCCAGACUCCUACGGGAUGCAGCAGUAGGGAAACUGCGGCAAUGGACGGAAGUCUGACCGAGAAACGCCGCGUGAGUGAAGAAGGUGUUCGGAUCGUAAAGCUCUGUUGUAAGAGAAGAACGAGGGUGAGAGUGGAAAGUUCACACUGUGACGGUAUCUUACCAGAAAGGGACGGCUAACUACGUG
RNAcentral lists this ribosomal RNA (495 nucleotides) under uncultured bacterium. RNAcentral's name for it is "partial 16S ribosomal RNA". It matches the Rfam family "Bacterial small subunit ribosomal RNA", at positions 28 to 507 of the family's 1533-position model. The record is from RNAcentral.